Molecule: microRNA precursor, 57 nt
Filed under: Echinops telfairi (small Madagascar hedgehog)
Lineage: Eukaryota; Metazoa; Chordata; Mammalia; Afrosoricida; Tenrecidae
Description: Ete-Mir-10-P2d_pre stem-loop
Rfam family: mir-10 microRNA precursor family
About the family: In this case the mature sequence comes from the 5' arm of the precursor. The extents of the hairpin precursors are not generally known and are estimated based on hairpin prediction.
Source: RNAcentral
AACCCGUAGAUCCGAACUUGUGGUGGUAGUCUGCACAAGCUUGUGUCUACAGGUAUG